RNAcentral lists this long non-coding RNA (394 nucleotides) under Sorghum bicolor (sorghum). RNAcentral describes it as "long non-coding RNA (SBIC_LNC007450)". The record is from RNAcentral. Lineage: Eukaryota; Viridiplantae; Streptophyta; Magnoliopsida; Poales; Poaceae.
AAGAAGGGGAAGGUGAAGAAAGGGUGGCUGGCGGUGCGCGUCGGGGCGGAGGGCGACGAGGGCGGCGGCUACCAGCGGUUCGUCAUCCCCAUCGCGUACCUCUACCACCCGCUGUUCCGCCGCCUGCUGGAGGCCGCGCGCGACGCCUACGGCUACGACUACUCCGCGGGGCCGCUCCGCCUGCCCUGCUCCGUCGACGAGUUCCUCCGCCUGCGCGCGCUCGUCGAACGGGAGACGCAGGCGGCGGCGCAGGCCUCGUCGUCGUCGCACCAUCGUGUGCAUGCCGGCGGAGGCGGAUCACACGGACACUACUCCCUCUCCCCGUGCACCCGCGCCAAGGUCACCUCAUGAUCGGUCACUCGAUCGAUCACCGGUCACGGCCGGCCGGCCUGCC